AGACUAAUGACCGAAGCUUCAAGACUUUGACAUGUGUGAAAACAUGAAAUGACCCUUGGCUCUUAUUGUUCUUGCUGGUGUGGUAUGUUCACGGCUGAAAAGGUGGUCAGAAGGAGAAAGGAGGAAGUGAGAAGAAAGAAACAGGGAAAUGACAGAGUGUUGCUCAGUUACCCAGGCUGGAGUGCAAUGGCAUGAUCUUGGCUCACUGCAGCCUCCACCUCCUGGGUUCAAGCGGUUCUCGUGCCUCAGUCUCCCAAGUAGCUGGGAUUACAGCAGGCUGAGGAAUUACCAAGGAGGCAGGAGGUGGAGCAAAACACACCAAGCCUGAUGCCAAUCAUUGACAAUAUUAUGGAACUGACUCAGCGCAAGAAGACAGCUUCGACUCCUUAUGAUUUCAUCCCUAACCAAUCAGCACUCCUGGCUCACUGGCUUCCCCCAACCCACCAAAUUGUCCUUAAAAACUCUGUUCUCCAAAUGCUGGGGGAGACUGAUUUGAGUAAUAAUAAAACUCUGGUCUCCUGCA
This 523-nucleotide long non-coding RNA is filed under the name Pan troglodytes (chimpanzee). RNAcentral's name for it is "lincRNA". Lineage: Eukaryota; Metazoa; Chordata; Mammalia; Primates; Hominidae. The record is from RNAcentral.